UAAUUAUGGGUUGUAGAAAUGAAGAUAUUAUCUAAAAUAAUAAAUUCAUUACGAAACAAAAUAUGUAACAAUGCAUUAUAACUUUUAAAAAAAAAUGAAGAAAUGACAUCUUUGGCAACGCUUUCUUCAUCUGAGAAAAGGUUUCCGAGCGCAACCAGCUUCGGCUAACGAGCUGAAAUUGAGCUCGUUCUCUAUAUCAUAACUCAAAGGACGAGGCAACCAACUUCGGCUUCCACUGGUCCCUCAUCACCCAACAGAAUCCUAAAGAAAGAAUUGCCAAUUUUGUAAAACCCUGAGAAGUCUAGUGGAUAAAUUGACAAUAAUAAAAGAAGAGGGACCAAAGUGAAAUUAAGUGAAUGUUGGGACGUCUUCGUCCUCCGUCAGCUGUGCUCUCGUCUCGCCCUCCAACGCCAUCUCCGGCGGUGAUGAUUUCCUUCAUGUUAGACGCUUAGAGGCUUCCCUUGGCUGAGCCCCAGCUCCAAUUCAACGGAACCCAAUAUCUCUCCCCUCCCAACUCCGCCAUUGCUGCCUUCAGUUCCUCUCAGAUUCUUGUCGGUCCACCCAAGUGAAGACUGUCCCACUGUCUCGCUCAUCGUCGAAUGUCUCGGGUUCUCGCUGGCUAUCAGUUCAAGGUGGGAAGGUAAGGUUUCUUCAGCUAAUGGAGGGUCCUCUAAGGGUCCGACAGGUGUUUAAAAAAAAAAAAAAGAUUGCUUGGAACUCCACGGAUAAUAGAGGUGGAUUGAACUGACGUAAGGUUUUUCCAAAAGUGAAUCAAGAGCUUCAGUUCUUUGAGCCUUCGGUAGAUAGAAGAAGUCGGUCGAAAUCAGUGGGAGAAUUGCUUAGUUGGGCGAUUUCACUGGGGAAAAUUUCGGAACAUUUGCUUUGCUUCGGUUGAUGCCGAGGCUUGCCUCUUCUGAUCAAUAAAAUACUAGGACGAUGCAUUGGAACAAUUCAAGGUAUCUGACAGUGGACCCAAGGCCCUGGAACUCAGUCUAAGGCCCUUAGAGAACAGCCAAGAGAUCAACAUGCUGUGGUGUUGCGGGAAGAAAAGGAUUUGGAAGAGUGGGACGUCAAGUCAUGUGAAAGCAAGCCGAUCUUCUUGCCUUAUCCUGAUAUUCGGGAGCUGCCAUGGACAUGGGAGUGCCCAGAAUGGGAGAUACUUGUCCUCUUUGCACAGGACGACUGUCUCCUGAAGGUCCCAUAUUUACUCUUCACGUUAAUGCCAAAACUCAAGGGAGCUUAAGAACCUACUCGUGCUAAGCUUUAUGGGGCCGGACAUCACUCGACUGCCAAAAGAAGUCAGGGAAUCGACAGGUUUGAGAUCAUUAGACUUGAGCUAUUGGUUGAGACUGGAAGUGAUUAAACCGGGGUCAUUGGAGGGGUUGGUUCAACUGGAAGAGCUAUAUCUGAAAGAUUCCUUUACUCAGCGGCAACUAGAGGGAAAUGAAGAGCAAACUAAUUCCAGUCUUGCUGAGUUGGACAAUAUGUAUCGUCUAAGCAAACCUAGACAUUCUCGUUCCUGAUGUCAACGUGGUCCGUGAAGACCUGGCAUUCUUGGGGACGUUAACCAAGUAGAGUGUUCCUUGGCAAUAAGUGGGACUGGUCUGUAAUAUAGAAAGAGCAACGCCUGCUCAAGUUUGAGUUGGAAGGCAAUGGUAUCCUCUCUGAAGAUUGGCUCCAACUUACUUUGCAGAGGACUGAUGAUCUUCAUAUGCAUGGUUCAGAUGGAGCAAAGAGAACCAUCCAUGUGCUGCGUAGAGAAGGCUUCAAGGAAUUGAAGCAUCUCCUUUUAGAACACAGUCCCUCCACUAAUUACCUUGUCCACUCAACCAAAUGCACCGGGGAGGGAGCAUUUUCCGUUUUGAGAGAGCAAAAGGUUGACCUUUGCUUUCUCAUUGAAACAACAGCAAAAGAGGCUCAAGCUACUAAUGUUUUGAGUAAAUGGCCUGGAUGGAGUUACUGGAAUAAUUAUGAUUUUGCUAAGAAUGGAAGAAUAUGGGUGCUGGUUAAUAGCAGGAUCUCCCUAACUGUUGUUCAAAAAUCAAGCCAGUUUAUUCAUUGUCUGGUAGACUUACCUGAAGGGAGAGGGAACAUUCAUGUGACAUUUGUUUAUGGAUCUAACUGCGCACAAGAGAGGAAGGAGUUAUGGGAUGAUUUGAAGCGGUUGUUUCACAUGGUUUCUGGUCCUUGGUCCUUACUUGGGACUCUAAUGCAGUGAAAGACCCGUAUGAGGUGAAGGCUCGAGGCAAGAUAAUUCAGAAUCUGGGUUCUUCUCUAUUGCUAGUGCUUGGGAGAUAUUGAGGCCUCAAGGUACAAAAGUAAAUUGAAGGGGCAUGGUCUGGUUAUAUGGUUGCGUCCCUCGUGUUCCUUUUAUAUAUAAGAUUGCACAGGUGGAAUCUAGUUCAGGAUGUUGAAUGUGAAUAUUGUAGAGCUUCCAUAGAAACAAGGGACCAUUUAUUUUUCUCUUGUACAGUUACUAAAAGUAUUUGGCCGGGUAUAAUGAGCAGGAUUGGAAUAUGUUGGUCUCGGGAUGAUUGGAAAAGUGAAACAGACUGGAUUCUUGCGCAAAAAGGGGGGAAGCUAGACACGAUCAUACUGAAGCUCAUUUGGUCAAAUUAUGUAUAGUGCAUCUGGCUUGAAAGGAAUAUGAGGGUUUUCAUUUUA
Non-coding RNA from Punica granatum (pomegranate), 2664 nucleotides. Lineage: Eukaryota; Viridiplantae; Streptophyta; Magnoliopsida; Myrtales; Lythraceae. The record is from RefSeq and is a predicted model, not a curated record.